This 242-nucleotide unclassified non-coding RNA is filed under the name Hevea brasiliensis (rubber tree). Lineage: Eukaryota; Viridiplantae; Streptophyta; Magnoliopsida; Malpighiales; Euphorbiaceae. The record is from RNAcentral.
AAAACCCAAAGAAAGCAAAAGACAAAAAGAAGAAGAAUAAGAAGAAGCGUGGAGGUACUAAGAAGAAGAUGACAGCUGAGCAGACUCUGGCUUUCAAGGCUGUCACUGAAUGGGUGUAUUUGGAUCAGNNNNNNNNUCUGCUUCUGCUCGUGUUGUUGAUGAUUUUGGGGUGCAGAAGACUAUGGGCAGAGGAGGAGAGAAGGUUGUUUUUGAAUUGCAUUCUCAUUCCAAAUGCAGUGAUG